Molecule: unclassified non-coding RNA, 1381 nt
Filed under: Hevea brasiliensis (rubber tree)
Lineage: Eukaryota; Viridiplantae; Streptophyta; Magnoliopsida; Malpighiales; Euphorbiaceae
Source: RNAcentral
AGAGGAGAAGUUCCAGAUAGAUCUUAUGGCUCCUCCUCCACAGUUAAGAUCAUCACCUGAAAGAGAAGCUGAGAUGGGUUUUGGCUCAGCAGCUGUGGAUAGUAUUAAGCAUAUUAUAUCAUCAGAAAAUAUUGUUGAAAUUAAGCCUGCUGUGACAGAAAAUGAUGAUGAAAGGAUUGGCAAAGCUGAGAAAGAUGAAGGGAUGGUGGUGAGUGUUGAAGCUGAGGAAAAGAAGACUAAAGCAGCUGUAGAAGAAAUUAAUGCUCAUAAGAUAAGUGAGAGUAGUAGGGGUAGGAAUAUUAAUCUUGAUCUUGAUUUGGAAAAGCCAGAAAAGGAUAGUGGUGUAAGUGGCAAAUUUCAACAGCACAGUCAAAAGUUGCAGCAGCACCAACCACCUCCUCCACCACAAAAAGCUACUAAAGAAGAAUCAGUUCCUGAAAAAACUGGUCAAUCCAGCUCUUUGCCUAUGCCAAUGUCUAUGGCUAGUUGGCCUGGUGGGCUUCCUCCCAUGGGAUACAUGGCGCCGUUACAAGGAGUUGUCGCUAUGGAUGGAAGCACGGUUUCUUCUGCUGCUCCAAUGCAGCCUCUGUUCUCUCAACCAAGGCCAAAAAGAUGUGCAACACAUUGUUACAUUGCUAGGAAUAUACAUUGCCUUCAGCAAUUUAUGAAGAUGCAUCCUUUUUGGCCACCUGCUGCUGGCACUGCACCCUUCUUUGGAGCCAAGACCAAUCUUAAUGUUAUGCCAUCAGCUGAUCUCCAUGGAAACUUAGCUGGUAGAGGAGCAAGUGCUGGGCCUGAUAAUAAAGGGCAGGGGCUUGCUAUCUUCCCUAGUAAUGGUGGAAAAGACAAAGUUCAACCAGCUAACAUUGCAGAUGCUGCUCAGAGAAAACAGCAAAUGUUACUCCAACAAGCAUUGCCGCCUGUUGCGCCCAAUAAUCUACUGCAUGGGCCUGCUUUCAUCUUCCCUUUGAAUCAACAGCAGGCAACUGCAGCUGCUGCUGUUCGACCAGGUCCUGCAAAGUCACCUAGCACAAUGGGCCCUUCUGUCCCUUCUAACACAACUAAUGCUGCUGCUGGAACUGCUUCAGCUACAGCUGGUGGAGCGGCUACUGCAAUUAGCUUCAACUAUCCAAAUAUGUCUCCUAAUGAUGCUCAGUAUUUGGCGAUCUUGCAGAAUAAUGCGUAUGCUUUCCCAAUACCAGCUGUAGGACCACCUCCGAAUUAUCGGGGAACUCAUCCUCAGCCCAUGCCAUUGUUCAAUGGAUCUUUCUAUUCUUCCCAGAUGAUUCAUCCUUCCCAGGUUCAGCAGCAGCAACAUCAACAGCAGCAGCAGCAUCAACAACAGCAGCAGCAGCAUCAACAACAGCAGCAGCAGCAUCAA